AACGAACGCUGGCGGCAUGCCUAACACAUGCAAGUCGAACGAAGCCUUCGGGCUUAGUGGCGCACGGGUGCGUAACACGUGGGAAUCUGCCCUUCGGUUCGGAAUAACAGUUAGAAAUGACUGCUAAUACCGGAUGAUGACGUAAGUCCAAAGAUUUAUCGCCGAAGGAUGAGCCCGCGUUGGAUUAGGUAGUUGGUGGGGUAAUGGCCUACCAAGCCGACGAUCCAUAGCUGGUUUGAGAGGAUGAUCAGCCACACUGGGACUGAGACACGGCCCAGACUCCUACGGGAGGCAGCAGUGGGGAAUCUUAGACAAUGGGGGAAACCCUGAUCUAGCCAUGCCGCGUGAUCGAUGAAGGCCUUAGGGUUGUAAAGAUCUUUCAGAUGGGAAGAUAAUGACGGUACCAUCAGAAGAAGCCCCGGCUAACUCCGUG
This 433-nucleotide ribosomal RNA is filed under the name uncultured bacterium. RNAcentral describes it as "bacterial SSU rRNA". It matches the Rfam family "Bacterial small subunit ribosomal RNA", at positions 29 to 507 of the family's 1533-position model. The record is from RNAcentral.